ACCUACUGUUUAAUUUUGAGGGUUCGUUUUUACGAAUACUCAAAAUUAGCACUUUUAGCAACAGAAUAAACUGAACGCAUGUGAAGUUUGUUUGUUGGCGACGUGCUUUAGUACUUUGAAAACUGCAUAUAUAUUUAGUGAUAUGACAUCUAAUUUGUAAUAUAUAAAGCUGAUAACUUUUUAAAAUUAUCGAAGUUGAUAGCUUCUAAUCUAUCAAACCUUUUUAACUGGUCAA
This 235-nucleotide unclassified non-coding RNA is filed under the name Clostridioides difficile. RNAcentral describes it as "16S-23S ribosomal RNA intergenic spacer (ISR)". The record is from RNAcentral. Lineage: Bacteria; Bacillati; Bacillota; Clostridia; Peptostreptococcales; Peptostreptococcaceae.